GCCCAGGUUAAUCAUCACUAAAUGGAGUUUUUUAAGAAUCUCAGAAGACACUGCUGGAAGAAUCACAGAGGGAACUUCUGAAGAAAUUCUAAAUAAGCCCCCGGAGAAAUCUCAGAAGAAACUAGAGGAAUCUCGGAACAAAUUUCUGGAGAAAUCCGCAAACUUCUGCAGGAUUAUCAGAAGAAAUUCCUUAAGGAGUGAGUAGAGCAUAGAUGACCGUACAAUUUGUAGUUGCUACAAAUACAAUUCGUGGUGCGUGUACUCCCCACCGCUCCCGGGUUAACAAAGGUGAAUUGCAAACUUGUACCGACACUUGACGUGACGAACCUUUCCACAUUUGUAGGUUAAAUACACGAAAAUAUGGUUUAGUUUUUAAAAUCAUCAGUUAUUUUAAUAUAAUUCAGAGAAUUUCGUCUUUUGUGGAACUCUCAGUCAACUACCUUGGUGGAGACCUCUAACACCCCUCUGAACCCCACUCCCUCAUAAAGAAUAGUGACAUCAACUGGAAACUUCCUUAGAAAACUCUAAAACCCCUUGGAACCUUUCCGAAAGCUUACUGAAACGACCCCAUUGAACCUCUCAAAACCCUCUGAAAUUACUCCGAAACUACAUGAAACGCCCCUGAAUGGCCCUCCUGGAACCAAUAGAACUCCUCUCCGAAAUUCCCUGAGGCCCUCUAAAACUUCUCGGAAAUCUUCUAAAACGCUCCUGAAACUUCCUAAAACCCCUCUGGAACCAUCUUGAAGUCUCCUGCACCCAUGUGAUUCUCCUUGAACGCUCCUAAAAUUCAUCGGAACCCCACUAAAGCUCCCUGAAUUCCUUCGACGUAUGAUAAAUAUUCAAGCAUCCGUUAUGAUUUUUCGAAAGUUUUUCUGACAAUGUUCAUAAAAACGUUUUCACUGUAUGUAGUAGGUAGUUCACAACUCACCCGCAGAAGUGGUGCCACCAUCUAGGCAAUAUUGUUCAUUUUAACAAAACAAACAACUCUUUCAUGGGCUUAGCAGCGUGUUCAGAAGGAAUCGCUCGACAUUUUUAGCAUUUUUAGACCGAUUCCUGACAGAAGCUUACUACAGUGACUUUUAAUGGCAGUAUUUUCUUUCAAGCUGUGUAGUUUCUUGUGAGGUUAGAAGAAAUUACUUAUGAAAUCCCGAAGAAAGCUCCUGGAGGAAUCACAAAUGGAACUUCUUCAGGAAUUCUAGACUUUUUUAGAUGACACCACAGAAGGAAUUCUUGGAGGAAUCCCAAGUUGAAUUCAUCGACUCAAAACUGUUCUUUGGGUAUAGAAUCUACUGAGCCCUGGCGCGACGGUGCCUGUUUUUAUGAUUCAUUUCUGAUUAUUGUCGCGCUUAUCUUUUAUUAGAGUCUGGCGGCUGUCGUACGCUCACAAGGCAUACCACCGCAGUGACAGUCGCAAGGCAAAACAAAAGAAAAUAUGUUCCCGCCAAAAACAAAAGCUCGUGGGUUUCUCGAAGUGACAGAUGUUCAUGAAUGUAUUUGUGAUAAACGGUAAGAGUGACUCACUGGAAUGAGUGUGUUUGGUAACAAACCCCAUGUAAUGGAAUUAAAUACUUUUAAAUCUGGUGACGCUCUUAUGAUUAGUGACUGUCGCGCUUAUAUCAGAAGCCAGAGGUAGAUAACCGUCAUAUUCUGAUUUUUCAUGAAACGCAUAAUAUUAUGCCGAAACAUAUAGUCUGCCUAGCAGCUACACUGAACGAAAACCACGGCCGUGCAAAUAAUGAUGUGUUAUUCAAUGCGAUACAGAUUCACAGAAUCUAAAUUUUGAAUGGCACAGCAUUUUUAAUUUCUUUGUUUAUUCAAAGACUUUUCAAACAUGAUUGAGAUCGAAUAAUGUACAGGUUCUUGUAGCGCCAAAGAAAAGUCCUCACAUUUCUGGAUUUUUCUGCUUAUUGGAUCGAAUAGAGCCUCCGUUAUCAACAGUUUGUGUGACAUUAUUGUGACAUACAAACACUAAUUAAAUAUUUAUAUAAUAGGUAUACUGCCCCUCUUGGCAUGUCAGUCCCAUGUCGUUUCUAAUGCGAAUCAAAUUUUUGUCUCUCACGAGCUCAUUUAAAAUAAAUUUCGUAUUUUUCUUGCCUCAUUUCACAGCCCAAUAUUCCACGAAAAGUUUAUGCAAGAAUUGAAUACAUUUUUUUCGAAAACAAUUGGAGUUACAGUGCAAAACGUAGGCACUUUGAAAAACAACAUGGGACUGACAUGGGAAGAGGGGCAGUAUAUAGAUUUCAAUAAAAAUGUACCUACAUAUAAUUAGAUAACUCUUUUAAAACUGGUUUAUUUGUUAAGUUUUAAAUCUCAUUCGUUGAAAAAAAUAUUUAAAACUAUCCCCAAAUCAUAUGAACCAGGAAAGGAAAUGAAAAUCAUUCAUAUAUUGACUUUCUAAAAAGUAAUGAAAAACAUCAUUUUUUGAAAUUCUCAUCAUUCAAAUUGUUUUCAUUUUUAAGGAGGCUGGAUCAACUGAAAAUCUCGGCUCGGAUGAAACAGAAAUCAUUCAAUUCAUGGCGGGGGUUUUCGUUCAAUGUAGUUCGCGAUGUAUCAUUGGAGGUGCUAUAGUCUAUAGACUAAGCCCAGCCGUGGGCAUUUGAAAACACUUGAACGCUAAGUAGAGCCCCGAACAGAGAAGAGGGCAACACCGGUUGCUGCAAAGUAGAGCUUGGAAAUGAAAGUUUUUCCUGCAGUACGUAACAGGGCUUGGAAUUCAGAAACACGCAAACUCAAGGAAAUGGCAUCCCUAUCCCACAAAUAAGAUUUUCAUAGCCGCAUAACAUCGGCACAAGCCUACGGUUCAAGCUUGACAAACUCUUUCUCACCACAGAAGUUGAUGCGGGUCUGGAAGUUGAUCUAGGGUCUAUAUGACACUGCACGCCACGGUUGCAAAGAUAAAUUUUGGCAAAUUUUUGACGUUUGGUGGUCUUGUUGCGCCUUGUUGUUUACGAUACGAACAUACACAAUUGUGUCAUCUUCGCAUGAGUGGUUUCCUUCAGUGAUUCUACAGUAAUUCGUUCCGGGAUUCGUUCAGAAAUUCCAUCAUACAGGAGUUUAUUCUAAGAACAUAGGGAGUUCUGUAUGAGAUAAUAUCUGGCGUUCGAUUUGAAUAGGUCGUAAGUUUGCUGUGAUUCCUAUGCAGAUUCGACCUAUUCAAAUCGAACGCCAGAUAUGUUAUAUCCGUGGGCUAACGCUUCCUUUAGAAGUUCUCUCUGUGAUUUUUCCAAUAGUUUUUUUUUUGAGAUUUCGUUCAAGAGCUCUUGCCAGGGUUGCCCCAGAAAGUUCUGUCGAAAUUCCAGAAGAAUUUCCUCCGGGAUUUAAUAAAUAUUUUUUUUCUGGGAUUCCUUAAAGAUUUUUUGGACUCCAGCAGAACUUUUUUCCGAUGUGUCUCUAGGAAUUCGUUCCAGGAAUUUCUUCUAGGAUUGAGAUCCCUCCAAAAUUUCCUUCUGAGAUUACCCCAGCACUUUUUCCUUGAAUUCCUUCAGGAUUUAAAAAAAAACACGGACUUCUACCAGUCAGGAACACUUCCAGUAAACUAUUAGCUCUAUGAAGGAGGCACGACACUAGACAACGGACUAGCAUGCAACGCCUAGUGGCACAGCCGAAAACUUUUUCCGACAGCUGCGGUGGGAAUCGAACCUGCACUCCUCAGCACGAUGCGACUAAGUGCUUGGUGACACUAGUCGCACGACUACGAAGCCAAAAGGAAUUCUUCCCGUAGUUUCUCCAGAAAUUAUUUCAGAAUUUCUCUUAGAGUUGCUUUUGUGAAUCCUCAGGAACUCCAUCUGAGAUAAUUCUUAGGAUUCUUUGAAAAAUUUCCCACAGGAAUUCAUCCAGGAUUUUCAUUUGAGCUUCCUUCUGGGACUUCAAGGAAUUCCUUCUGAGAACUUCUUCAGAAGUAUAGAUAAUCCUCCAGGGAUUGUUUAUGAGAUUCCUUCCGGAAUUCCUUCCUUGAUUCCUCCAGGAAUUUGUUCUGAGAUUCUCUUAAUAGAUUCUCUAGGAAAGUCUUCAGAAGUUUUUCCUGUGAUGUUCAGAAAUGAUUCCUGGAAAAAUAAAAUUCUGGAAGCAACUACUAAAGUAAACCGUGAAGAAACAUCGAAAGAAACUCCUUACAAAACUACUGGUGGAAUUCCUUGAGAAAUUGUUGAAAUUCCUCAAGGAACUUAAUAUGUGAGGCACUCCUAAUGUAAUUCCAUGAGGAAUUCCAUUUGAAAGCUCCUGAUGGAACUUCGUAAAAUGCUCCUGGAAGAAUUCCGUAAUAAUCUGCUAGAGUUUUCUGCCCCCACUCGCAUAACAGUCCCAUAUGAAUAGGAAAUCCAGCAAACAUGGGACAGUAAUGCGAGUGGGGGCAAUUUUGUCUUUAGCUAAAUAUGAGAGAUCUAGAAUGAACUUCCGUAGGAAUUCUAAAAUAAAACUUCAGGAGAAAUGCAGAGAAGAGUUCUUGAACGAACCCUCUAAGGUGUUCUUGAAAGAUUGGCAGAAGAAGUUCCUGAAGGAAUUCCAGAAGAAGUUCUUGGAGGAAGGAUAUCGAAUCUCAUAAACAAAAUCUGAAAAAUCAUAGAAAUCAUGAAUCAUGGAGGAAUCUCGGAUGGAACUUCCGGAAGAGUCCCGAAGAAGAAACUUAUGAGAAUACAAAUAUGGCUGCCGCAAUGGCCGACUUGGAGCCUUACUCACGUUUUCAAGAUCACCAAUCUUAGAAAAUAUUUGAACAAAUGCACUCGAUUUGGAAAAGCUGCCUCUUUUUACAAGUGAGCAAAACCAGGAUAAACAAGUACGGCUUGGUUCGAUGCUUCGUUCGUCAGAUUUGUACCUCUCUAAAGUUAGUAUGCAAAAUUGCAAUGGAAUUUUUUGAUAAUUCAGCUGAAGGAAUUCCAAUAGGAAGCUCUGAAGGAAUUUUGAAGGAUUUUUUGGAGCAAUUUCGGAAAAAAAAAACUUUAGGAAGAAUUUUGGAAGACAUUCCGGGUGAAAUCCUAGGAAGGAACUCAAAAUUCUUGAGGAAUCCCAGAAGGAGCUUAAGGCUACCACAGCAGGAACGCGUAAAGGAACUCUUAGAAGGAAUUUCUGGUGGAAUCCCAGAAUGAAUUCCUUAAAAGGCCGUGGAUGGAACUGGACGAAUCCCGCGAAGAAGGAAUCCUUAAUAGACCACCGCAAGAAUUUCAUAUAGAACUCCCUGGGAAUCCCAGAAGAAACACUUGGGGGAGAUUUGUGGAGAGAUCACGUAAGGAAUUUCUGUGGAAUCUGACAAGGAUUUUCCUGGAAGGAUACCACCAGCAAAUAAUAAAUUGUAAUUGUAAUUUGUAAGUUUAUUUAUACGAUAGCCUGUCAGUGUACAAACUUUAAACCAGGUCAAGGAAUAAAUGAUGAUUCACUUCUGUUAGAGUUACAGGGUCUCCAGUUAGCCUAGUGGUUAAGGCUAUGGAUCGCCAAUCCGGAGACGGCGGGUUCGAUUCCCGUUCCAGUCGGGAAAAUUUUCUCGACUCCCUGGGCAUAGUGUAUCAUUGUCCUUGCCUCACAAUAUACAAAUUCAUGCAAUGGCAGGCAAAGAAAGCCCUUCAAUUAAUAACUGUGGAAGUGCUCAAAAGAACACUAAGUUGAAGUGAGGCAGGCCAAGUCCCAGUGGGGACGUAGAGCCAUAGAGAAGAAGAAGAAGAAGAAGAAGAAGAAGAAGAAGAGUUACAAAAAUAUUGAAAAUUAAAAAAAAUGACUACUGACUUUUUGAUGCAAAUAGUUACUUUUUAGUGACUGAGUGGAAAACAGUGAUUACAUCAUUAGAAAGAGACUUGCUACCAGGCCUCAAUUUACUUAUGGUCACCCUACACCUGCAUAAAAGGGUUUCGUGCCCUUGUAUGGCGCAACGCAUCUUCCUCACUAUAUUUAUAUGUACACAUAUUAGAGGUACCUAUUAGGAAUACCCGCAACCAACCAUUAGGAAGCAAAGGAGGAAACCCCAAAGCGACACGACACAGUUCGGCGGAACACGGAAAUGAGAACCAGACAAACCAUCGAACGAACCAACGAACGAACAAAAUAUUGAUUUAAUAACCCACUUUACCUUCAGCUUGGUUGACGGAUUGACUGCGGCUCCUCUGUGUCCUGUAUAGGGUGACCCCCGCUCCUCUCGGCUGGACUCCUCAAGCAACCCGAACCGAGCAGCAGCGAUUGUGAUGAAAAGUUAUCUCAGAGUUUUUGUCCGAGUGUUUCGGCGAUAAUUUAUGAAUGUAUCGUUUGCCUUCUUCAGGUAUUUCUUCUUGUUCUUCCGCUGCGUAGCUCGUUUUCUUCCUCCGGUUCUGCUUGACUGACUUUUUCGUCAACUAACUUUUUUUUUGCUGGGACGAAUCUCUUUCAUCACAUCUUUCUUCUUGUCACUCACGUCUACCCACGACUCGAGACGAGAUAGAUUUUUUUCUUAAAUAAUUCACCUUCACUUCUUCAACCUGGCUUCAAGUGGCAUUUGCUAAUGCAGCUUCAAAGCACAAAAUUUUCCACUCCCGGAGCCGCACCUACAAUUUGCGUUUCUUCUUGAAUGAUAAUUAUUUCGCAGCUUCGAUUGGAUGACGUCGAUUCUUCAAACCCGAAAACAAAACUUCCACGGAUUUUGUCUGCUCUCCGCCUGCUGCUGCUUCUAUCCGCACUCUGCUGAUGAUGCAAAUUUUUUCCACUACUGACUUUCACUCGGGAAGAUCUCAGCAAUCCGCACGUCGGAACAGCACAACCUCCCGAAAAUCUCGGCGUAACCCACGGCAAC
Aedes albopictus (Asian tiger mosquito) is the source of this 6745-nucleotide long non-coding RNA. RefSeq lists it as uncharacterized. The transcript has 2 exons. NCBI's taxonomy places the organism in Eukaryota, Metazoa, Arthropoda, Insecta, Diptera, Culicidae. The record is from RefSeq and is a predicted model, not a curated record.